Molecule: non-coding RNA, 24 nt
Filed under: Arabidopsis thaliana (thale cress)
Lineage: Eukaryota; Viridiplantae; Streptophyta; Magnoliopsida; Brassicales; Brassicaceae
Source: RNAcentral
GCCGAGGGUGAAGAGUAUGUAAGA